This 663-nucleotide long non-coding RNA is filed under the name Populus tremula. RNAcentral describes it as "long non-coding RNA (PTRE_LNC002308)". The record is from RNAcentral. Lineage: Eukaryota; Viridiplantae; Streptophyta; Magnoliopsida; Malpighiales; Salicaceae.
UUCUUCACUUGACGAGGUUGAGGAGGCUUAGCAUCUAGACAAUACAAUAGAGAAAAAUGACAAUGUUUAUUAUGCACGAUGAUGACAUGCCCGUGGUUAUGAGGGUGCAAGUUCAUCAAUAUUACUAAAUGUGCAACCACUGUUCAUGCUAAUACUAUAUGCAUGAUUUAUUGGUUGCGCAAGGUGCAUUUAAUAUUAGUGUUACUUUUGGUUAGUUAGUUCUGCAGUUCCUUUUCUUUUCUUCUUUCUCUAGUUCUUUCUUUUUAUCUUUCACUGCUUCUCCAUUCUCGUUCGCUUCUCUCAACUUAGGCAACCUCAUUUACCACAAUUCUUGAUGCUACUGACGAUGUUGUGCGCAAUACUUUCAAUACUUGGUUUUCAUUGACCCGUUCUUCAAUUGACGAGGUUAAGGAGGCUUAGCAUUUGAACAGUGCAAUAGAGAAGGAUGGUAGUGUUUAUUAUGCACGAUGAUGACAUGCCCGUGGUUAUGAGGGUGUAAGUCCAUCAACAUGUUAAUUUGUUAGCUAUUUAACUAUGUAAUUUAAUUAAAUUGUUAUUGAAUUGAUAUUUGUUACUAUAAUGAAUUAUUUUGGCAUUCUCAUUCAUUUUUAUAAUUAUAAAUUUUACCUGCAAUGAAAUUAGUUGAUUAUGUUAGUUAUUGGA